GAAUUGUUCGCAAUGGGCGCAAGCCUGACGACGCAACGCCGCGUGGAGGACGAAGAUCUUCGGGUCGUAAACUCCUUUCCAUCGAGACGAAUGGCCUCCGGGUGAAUAAUCCGGAGGAGUGACGGUACCGAGAGAAGCAGCCCCGGCCAACUCCGUGCCAGCAGCCGCGGUAAUACGGGGGGGGCAAGCGUUGUUCGGAAUUACUGGGCGUAAAGGGCUCGUAGGCGGCCAACUAAGUCAGACGUGAAAUCCCUCGGCUUAACCGGGGAACUGCGUCUGAUACUGGAUGGCUUGAGAUUGGGAGAGGGAUGCGGAAUUCCAGGUGUAGCGGUGAAAUGCGUAGAUAUCUGGAGGAACACCGGUGGCGAAGGCGGCAUCCUGGACCAACACUGACGCUGAGGAGCGAAAGCCAGGGGAGCAAACGGG
Molecule: ribosomal RNA, 426 nt
Filed under: uncultured bacterium
Lineage: Bacteria
Description: bacterial SSU rRNA
Rfam family: Bacterial small subunit ribosomal RNA
Source: RNAcentral